Molecule: non-coding RNA, 75 nt
Organism: Myotis lucifugus (little brown bat)
Lineage: Eukaryota; Metazoa; Chordata; Mammalia; Chiroptera; Vespertilionidae
Source: Rfam
GGUGGUUCUCAGUGAUGCACUUCGGAAUUGGGCUCCCUCCUCUCUGGUUCCGGGGUGCGUCACCUGAGAACUGUU